CCUACGGGUGGCAGCAGUGAGGAAUAUUGGUCAAUGGUCGGGAGACUGAACCAGCCAAGCCGCGUGAGGGAUGAAGGUACAGAGUAUCGUAAACCUCUUUUGUCAGGGAACAAAGGCGGGGACGUGUCCCCGGAUGAGUGUACCUGAAGAAAAAGCAUCGGCUAACUCCGUGCCAGCAGCCGCGGUAAUACGGAGGAUUCGAGGGUUAUCCGGAUUUAUUGGGUGUAAGGGGUGCGCAGGCGGUCUGUUCAGUCAGUGGUAAAAGCCCGGGGCCAAACCCCGGCCCGUCGUUGAAACUGGCAGUCUCGAGUUGGAGAGAAGUAUGCGGAAUGCGCGGUGUAGCGGUGAAAUGCAUAGAUAUCGCGCAGAACUCCGAUUGCGAAGGCAGCAUGCCGGCUCCACACUGACGCUGAGGCACGAAAGCGUGGGUAUCGAACAGGAUUAGAUACCCGAGUAGUC
This 459-nucleotide ribosomal RNA is filed under the name uncultured bacterium. RNAcentral describes it as "partial 16S ribosomal RNA". It matches the Rfam family "Bacterial small subunit ribosomal RNA", at positions 338 to 795 of the family's 1533-position model. The record is from RNAcentral.